This 254-nucleotide ribosomal RNA is filed under the name uncultured Singulisphaera sp. RNAcentral describes it as "partial 16S ribosomal RNA". It matches the Rfam family "Bacterial small subunit ribosomal RNA", at positions 524 to 776 of the family's 1533-position model. Lineage: Bacteria; Pseudomonadati; Planctomycetota; Planctomycetia; Isosphaerales; Isosphaeraceae. The record is from RNAcentral.
GACGAACCGUGCGAACGUUAUUCGGAAUCACUGGGCUUAAAGCGCGUAUAGGCGGGCGGGAACGUCGGUCGUUGAAAGCCCCCGGCUCAACCGGGGAACGGGCGCCGAAACGACCCGCCUCGAGGGACGUAGGGGGACCUGGAACUUCCGGUGGAGCGGUGAAAUGCGUUGAGAUCGGAAGGAACGCCCGUGGCGAAAGCGAGGUCCUGGACGUCUUCUGACGCUGAGACGCGAAAGCUAGGGGAGCGAACGGG